This 401-nucleotide ribosomal RNA is filed under the name bacterium. Its description in RNAcentral is "partial 16S ribosomal RNA". It matches the Rfam family "Bacterial small subunit ribosomal RNA", at positions 355 to 776 of the family's 1533-position model. The record is from RNAcentral.
UGGGGAAUUUUGCACAAUGGGGGAAACCCUGAUGCAGCGACGCCGCGUGAUUUAGAAGGCCUUCGGGUUGUAAAAAUCUUUUCUAUGGGAAGAAAAUGACAGUACCAUAGGAAUAAGGACCGGCUAAUUACGUGCCAGCAGCCGCGGUAAUACGUAAGGUCCGAGCGUUGUCCGGAAUCAUUGGGCGUAAAGGGUACGUAGGCGGGUAAGCAAGUUAGAAGUGAAAUCCUAUAGCUCAACUAUAGUAAGCUUUUAAAACUGCUCAUCUUGAGGUAUGGAAGGGAAAGUGAAUUCCUAGUGUAGCGGUGAAAUGCGCAGAUAUUAGGAGGAAUACCGGUGGCGAAGGCGACUUUCUGGCCAUAACCUGACGCUGAGGUACGAAAGCGUGGGUAGCAAACAGG